GAUGAAGAACGCAGCGAAAUGCGAUAAGGAGUGUGAAUUGCAGAAUUCCGUGAAUCAUCGAAUCUUUGAACGCACAUUGCGCCUUCUGGUAUUCCGGAAGGCAUGCCUGUUCGAGAGUCAUUAACAACCGUUUCGAUCCCUUUCUUUCAGAAAUUACAAAGAGGAAAAGGGUUUGGUUAUGGUGGAGGAGGGAAAGGGAGCGUUUAGCCUGUAAAAAAAGAGGCUGUGUUCCGCCUCCCCCCCAAAAUUGUACAGGCGGUCGUGUGCGCCCACGCAUCGAGGUGUUGUAAAAGCUGCCACGGCACUUUUCACCUGUGCAGUGCGAGAUUGGCCAGCCGGUUUAAAAACCCCUCCAAACAAUCAAAGGUUGACCUCGGAUCAGGUAGGGAUACCCGCUGAACUUAAGCAUAUCAAUAAGCGGAGGA
This 425-nucleotide unclassified non-coding RNA is filed under the name soil metagenome. Its description in RNAcentral is "partial contains 5.8S ribosomal RNA, internal transcribed spacer 2, and large subunit ribosomal RNA". The stretch from base 1 to 120 matches the Rfam family "5.8S ribosomal RNA", at positions 35 to 154 of the family's 154-position model. The record is from RNAcentral.